RNAcentral lists this transfer RNA (80 nucleotides) under Bacteriophage sp. RNAcentral describes it as "tRNA-Asn". The record is from RNAcentral.
UAGCUCAGUUGGUUAGAGCAACAGAUUGUUUAUAUGGCGGUAAUGCUAAUAUAUAGUAGGUUUAAUUCCUACUACCGCCA